RNAcentral lists this long non-coding RNA (845 nucleotides) under Pongo abelii (Sumatran orangutan). RNAcentral describes it as "lincRNA". Lineage: Eukaryota; Metazoa; Chordata; Mammalia; Primates; Hominidae. The record is from RNAcentral.
GAACUCAGUCCAAGAGCCUCUCUGAGACCUCUUCUCCCUUCUCUGUCAGCAGAGGAAAAGAGGGUGGAGGGGCUGCUGCCCCAGGAAGGCUGGGCCCACCCCUCCUCACAGGCACCCUGCUGCCUGUUCAGCUUGGCUCUCUGGGUGACAGGCAGAAGCCCCGGUUGCUUCUCUUCUCCACGGUGAUUUCUGCAUACUUUAUCCGAACCCCCUCCCCACCGCUGUCCAGUUUCUGGCUCCUCUUCCUGCCCGUGCUCUGAGGCCAGCUGGGGUCCCCCCAGGUGACUCCUGCUGUUGCUGUCACUGGACCCUGACGCUGUGCCGCACCCGAAUUCCUCCGAAUGGAGCCUUGGCCAGAGCAAGGCGUGCCGUGUAGAGGAGCGGAUCUGAGCCUGGCAGGAGAUUGCUAAAACCUUUGCCCUUCACACAAACGCGGAAACACGGGGUGGGUGCUGAAGAGCCAAGCAAGUGUCCCCCAUUUCCUUCCAAGGCAGAGCAGCAGCCCAGGGAGGCCCAGUUUCCAUCGCGGCUCCAGGUGAAGGGCAGAAGAGUGGGGGAGGUCCCAGGACCGCAGCCCAGGGGACACUCAGGAUGUGCUGGGAAGGACAUGGCAGACAGGCCCUUUAGGUGGAAAAGCAACCCUCAGCUGCCCAGAGAGCGGCCCCUCCAGGCCCUCUCCGCCGUUUGCAAAGCUCUUCAGCUGGGAGAGGAGGAAAGGGUUUGUUCUUGACCUCCUUCCUUUCCUUUCCUUCUGCACUGUCCACGGGUGAGCAGGAAGACAGGCUGAUGCUCUUGUUGCAAAUGAAGGUAUAAUUCACAUGCCAUAAAAUUCACCAUUUUAACCA